Molecule: small nuclear RNA, 104 nt
Organism: Delphinapterus leucas (beluga whale)
Lineage: Eukaryota; Metazoa; Chordata; Mammalia; Artiodactyla; Monodontidae
Source: Ensembl
GUGCUUGCUUCAGCAGCACAUAUACUAAAAUUGGAACACAGAGUGCAGUAACACGGCCCCUGAACAAGGAUGACAUUCAAAUUCGUGAAGCGCUCCAUAUUUUU